CCAGUCUNCAAGAGCAAANGUCCACUGGUCGCAGCACCCNNGCCGGGNGAAGAUAGCGAAANCACUUGUNCUUUCAGUGCGGACUAGUAUGAAUGGAACCACGAGGGUUAUACUGUCUCCUUUCGCUGAUCAGUGAUANUAAUCUCCCCGUNAAGAAGCNGUGAUAAAUAUAUAUGACGAGAAGACCCUAUGGAGCUUUAAAUAAUAUAGCACUUGCAACAUAACAUAAAAAUUUCUGAAUAUUUUAAUUUAUGAGCAACAUGUAUAUAAAUUUUUGGUUGGGGUGGCCGCGGAGCAUAACACAACCUCCAUGUUGNAAGAACUUCUUUCUAAGCUAAGAACUACCAGACGAAGCAUCNAUAUACUGACAUUCAUUGNNCCAAUAUAUCUGCNCNUCGANCCAAGUUACNCUAGGGAUANCAGCGCAAUCCCCUCCAAUGAUCCCCUAUCAACAAGUGUGAUNUGCGACNUAGAUGNUGCUUCUGGGUAUCCNAAUG
Molecule: ribosomal RNA, 497 nt
Filed under: Anaxyrus canorus (Yosemite toad)
Lineage: Eukaryota; Metazoa; Chordata; Amphibia; Anura; Bufonidae
Description: partial 16S ribosomal RNA
Rfam family: Bacterial large subunit ribosomal RNA
Source: RNAcentral